CGCGUAGGCGGCUCUGCAAGUCGAAGGUGAAAUCCCUCAGCUCAACUGAGGAACUGCCUCCGAUACUGCAGGGCUUGAGUUCCGGAGAGGGUAGCGGAAUUCCCAGUGUAGCGGUGAAAUGCGUAGAUACUGGGAGGAACACCGGUGGCGGAGGCGGCUACCUGGACGGAUACUGACGCUGAGGCGCGAAAGCGUGGGGAGCAAACAGGAUUAGAUACCCUGGUAGUCC
This 229-nucleotide ribosomal RNA is filed under the name uncultured bacterium. RNAcentral's name for it is "partial 16S ribosomal RNA". It matches the Rfam family "Bacterial small subunit ribosomal RNA", at positions 568 to 796 of the family's 1533-position model. The record is from RNAcentral.